AUGAUUGGGGAAAUUGGAAAUGGGCGCAAGCCUGAUCCAGCCAUGCCGCGUGCAGGAUGAAGGCCUUCGGGUUGUAAACUGCUUUUGUACGGAACGAAAAGACUCUUUCUAAUAAAGAGGGUCCAUGACGGUACCGUAAGAAUAAGCACCGGCUAACUACGUGCCAGCAGCCGCGGUAAUA
Molecule: ribosomal RNA, 181 nt
Filed under: uncultured Acidovorax sp.
Lineage: Bacteria; Pseudomonadati; Pseudomonadota; Betaproteobacteria; Burkholderiales; Comamonadaceae
Description: partial 16S ribosomal RNA
Rfam family: Bacterial small subunit ribosomal RNA
Source: RNAcentral